UUUAGUCCAAAAUAAAUGCUGCUGCUCAUUCCUACCUAGUGCUUUGCCUUUACCUUUUGGAUCUAAUGUUUCCUUGUAGCAAAUCUUUAGGAAAUUUCUUAUGUCUGGGCCCUAACACAUCACAUUAGUGUCUUUCUAUGUACUAUGCACAUUCAUUUCCAGCAAUCACUAAAUCAAGUAUGUUCUUCCAAAAUAGAAUGAACAUAUGCUUUUCAUCCCAGGAUAGCUUUAUAUAAUCCCUGGCAACACAGAAUAUCACAUUUGGCCCACAGUAGGGAUUCAAUAAAUAAUUCAUUAUGUGCAGUAUUAAUCAGGAAAUUAUAACUUUUUGGCCUUUGCUCCUUUUUAGAAUCAGUAUUAUAAAUAAUUAUAGUUACUGAAGGAAAAAAAAAAAACUACACCAAUUCUUCUUGAAACAGUUAUAACAGUUCUCCCCUAUGGAACCAAAUUUUCCAUGUUCUUUAGAAGGUAGGAGUGGUUAGUUUGCUCUGCAGCUUAGAUCAAUGCACUGAAUACCUGGUGGGAAGAGAGUCCUUAGAUUGGCUGUUCUUCAAUUUUAUUGUGUGUAGAUUCACACAGACAGCUUGGCAAAAUGCAGAUUCCUGGCUCCUAAACUUAGAGGCUCCCAUCCAACUGUUCUAGGUUUGGGCCCAGAUCUGCAGUUUUAUGAACCAUCUGAAAUCUCUGUCAUGUGAGGAUAUGAUAAGAAGAUGUCUUUCGGCAGGCCAGAAAGAAUGCCUUCACCAGACAGACCAUCUGCCAGUACCCUGGUCCUAUACUUCCCAACCUCCGGAAUGGUGAGAAAUAAGUUUCUGUUGGUUAAGCCAAUCAGCCAAUAAACAAACUGACAAACAACUGAGAUGAUUCAGGUAUAAGUAGUUCUGCC
This 886-nucleotide long non-coding RNA is filed under the name Marmota monax (woodchuck). Lineage: Eukaryota; Metazoa; Chordata; Mammalia; Rodentia; Sciuridae. The record is from RNAcentral.